GCAUCUAGAUUAGGGUUUGAUCCUGGCUCAGAUUGAACGCUGGCGGCAGGCCUAACACAUGCAAGUCGAGCGGUAGCACAGAGAGCUUGCUCUCGGGUGACGAGCGGCGGACGGGUGAGUAAUGUCUGGGAAACUGCCUGAUGGAGGGGGAUAACUACUGGAAACGGUAGCUAAUACCGCAUAACGUCGCAAGACCAAAGUGGGGGACCCUCGGGCCUCAUGCCAUCAGAUGUGCCCAGAUGGGAUUAGCUAGUAGGUGGGGUAAUGGCUCACCUAGGCGACGAUCCCUAGCUGGUCUGAGAGGAUGACCAGCCACACUGGAACUGAGACACGGUCCAGACUCCUACGGGAGGCAGCAGUGGGGAAUAUUGCACAAUGGGCGCAAGCCUGAUGCAGCCAUGCCGCGUGUAUGAAGAAGGCCUUCGGGUUGUAAAGUACUUUCAGCGAGGAGGAAGGCAUUAAGGUUAAUAACCUUGGUGAUUGACGUUACUCGCAGAAGAAGCACCGGCUAACUCCGUGCCAGCAGCCGCGGUAAUACGGAGGGUGCAAGCGUUAAUCGGAAUUACUGGGCGUAAAGCGCACGCAGGCGGUCUGUCAAGUCGGAUGUGAAAUCCCCGGGCUCAACCUGGGAACUGCAUUCGAAACUGGCAGGCUAGAGUCUUGUAGAGGGGGGUAGAAUUUCAGGUGUAGCGGUGAAAUGCGUAGAGAUCUGGAGGAAUACCGGUGGCGAAGGCGGCCCCCUGGACAAAGACUGACGCUCAGGUGCGAAAGCGUGGGGAGCAAACAGGAUUAGAUACCCUGGUAGUCCACGCCGUAAACGAUGUCGACUUGGAGGUUGUGCCCUUGAGGCGUGGCUUCCGGAGCUAACGCGUUAAGUCGACCGCCUGGGGAGUACGGCCGCAAGGUUAAAACUCAAAUGAAUUGACGGGGGCCCGCACAAGCGGUGGAGCAUGUGGUUUAAUUCGAUGCAACGCGAAGAACCUUACCUACUCUUGACAUCCAGAGAACUUAGCAGAGAUGCUUUGGUGCCUUCGGGAACUCUGAGACAGGUGCUGCAUGGCUGUCGUCAGCUCGUGUUGUGAAAUGUUGGGUUAAGUCCCGCAACGAGCGCAACCCUUAUCCUUUGUUGCCAGCGGUCCGGCCGGGAACUCAAAGGAGACUGCCAGUGAUAAACUGGAGGAAGGUGGGGAUGACGUCAAGUCAUCAUGGCCCUUACGAGUAGGGCUACACACGUGCUACAAUGGCAUAUACAAAGAGAAGCGACCUCGCGAGAGCAAGCGGACCUCAUAAAGUAUGUCGUAGUCCGGAUUGGAGUCUGCAACUCGACUCCAUGAAGUCGGAAUCGCUAGUAAUCGUAGAUCAGAAUGCUACGGUGAAUACGUUCCCGGGCCUUGUACACACCGCCCGUCACACCAUGGGAGUGGGUUGCAAAAGAAGUAGGUAGCUUAACCUUCGGGAGGGCGCUUACCACUUUGUGAUUCAUGACUGGGGUGAAGUCGUAACAAGGUAGCCGA
Molecule: ribosomal RNA, 1514 nt
Filed under: uncultured Enterobacteriaceae bacterium
Lineage: Bacteria; Pseudomonadati; Pseudomonadota; Gammaproteobacteria; Enterobacterales; Enterobacteriaceae
Description: bacterial SSU rRNA
Rfam family: Bacterial small subunit ribosomal RNA
Source: RNAcentral